Molecule: RNase P RNA, 488 nt
Filed under: Candidatus Omnitrophota bacterium
Lineage: Bacteria; Pseudomonadati; Candidatus Omnitrophota
Description: RNase P RNA component class A
Rfam family: Bacterial RNase P class A
About the family: Ribonuclease P (RNase P) is a ubiquitous endoribonuclease, found in archaea, bacteria and eukarya as well as chloroplasts and mitochondria.
Source: RNAcentral
GAAGCUGGACAAGAUGGUUGCACGGCUGUUUGAUAACAGCCGCGAGGAAAGUCCGAGCUCCAAAGGGUUAUGCACCCGGGUAAUGCCGGGCCUUCCUGCAAAAUUUGCAGGAUGAGGAUCUCCGCCACAAAUUAUGGCGGACCCGCCAAUGUAUUUUGGCGGGAGAGCUACAGUGACGAUACUUUUUAUGUGGUCUGUGCUCUGUGCUCUGUGAUCAUAGAUUUGCCGAUCACGGACCACGGGUCACAGAUCACUUAGAGAGGGUGAAACGAGCAAUCUCUGCAUGGAGCAAGGCCAAAUAGGGAAAGAGGAUCUUUGAUCCGCCUGGCGAACCCGUUCGGCCACUAUUUCCGGGUAGGCCGCAAGAGUAUGGCCCUGUUUUAAACAGGAUUCAGUAAUGGCCAUAGUGAGUUGAAUAACCAUCGAGCAAGAAAUCUGUUAUCAGAUUUCCUGCUUUUACAAAACUCGGCUUAUGAACAGCUUCUUAG